Molecule: ribosomal RNA, 468 nt
Filed under: uncultured bacterium
Lineage: Bacteria
Description: bacterial SSU rRNA
Rfam family: Bacterial small subunit ribosomal RNA
Source: RNAcentral
AGACCAGACUCCUACGGGAGGCAGCAGUGAGGAAUAUUGGUCAAUGGGCUUACGCCUGAACCAGCCAAGUCGCGUGAGGGAAGACUGCCCUAUGGGUUGUAAACCUCUUUUGUCAGGGAGCAACGCCGGCUACGUGUAGCCGGACUGAGAGUACCCGAAGAAAAAGCAUCGGCUAACUCCGUGCCAGCAGCCGCGGUAAUACGGAGGAUGCGAGCGUUAUCCGGAUUUAUUGGGUUUAAAGGGUGCGUAGGCGGACUGGAAAGUCAGCGGUAAAAUCGAGAGGCUCAACCUCUUUCCGCCGUUGAAACUGUCGGUCUUGAGUGGGCGAGAAGUAUGCGGAAUGCGCGGUGUAGCGGUGAAAUGCAUAGAUAUCGCGCAGAACUCCGAUUGCGAAGGCAGCAUGCCGGCUCCACACUGACGCUGAGGCACGAAAGCGUGGGUAUCGAACAGGAUUAGAUACCCCCGUAA